UAGAGUUUGAUCCUGGCUCAGGAUGAACGCUAGCUACAGGCUUAACACAUGCAAGUCGAGGGGCAGCAUCAUCAAAGCUUGCUUUGAUGGAUGGCGACCGGCGCACGGGUGAGUAACACGUAUCCAACCUGCCGACAACACUGGGAUAGCCUUUCGAAAGAAAGAUUAAUACCGGAUGGCAUAGUUUUCCCGCAUGGGAUAAUUAUUAAAGAAUUUCGGUUGUCGAUGGGGAUGCGUUCCAUUAGGCAGUUGGCGGGGUAACGGCCCACCAAACCUACGAUGGAUAGGGGUUCUGAGAGGAAGGUCCCCCACAUUGGAACUGAGACACGGUCCAAACUCCUACGGGAGGCAGCAGUGAGGAAUAUUGGUCAAUGGACGAGAGUCUGAACCAGCCAAGUAGCGUGAAGGAUGACUGCCCUAUGGGUUGUAAACUUCUUUUAUACGGGAAUAAAGUGAGCCACGUGUGGCUUUUUGUAUGUACCGUAUGAAUAAGGAUCGGCUAACUCCGUGCCAGCAGCCGCGGUAAUACGGAGGAUCCGAGCGUUAUCCGGAUUUAUUGGGUUUAAAGGGAGCGUAGGCGGGUUGUUAAGUCAGUUGUGAAAGUUUGCGGCUCAACCGUAAAAUUGCAGUUGAUACUGGCGACCUUGAGUGCAACAGAGGUAGGCGGAAUUCGUGGUGUAGCGGUGAAAUGCUUAGAUAUCACGAAGAACUCCGAUUGCGAAGGCAGCUUACUGGAUUGUAACUGACGCUGAUGCUCGAAAGUGUGGGUAUCAAACAGGAUUAGAUACCCUGGUAGUCCACACAGUAAACGAUGAAUACUCGCUGUUGGCGAUAUACUGUCAGCGGCCAAGCGAAAGCAUUAAGUAUUCCACCUGGGGAGUACGCCGGCAACGGUGAAACUCAAAGGAAUUGACGGGGGCCCGCACAAGCGGAGGAACAUGUGGUUUAAUUCGAUGAUACGCGAGGAACCUUACCCGGGCUUAAAUUACACCUGAAUAAUCUGGAAACAGAUUAGCCGCAAGGCAGGUGUGAAGGUGCUGCAUGGUUGUCGUCAGCUCGUGCCGUGAGGUGUCGGCUUAAGUGCCAUAACGAGCGCAACCCUUAUCUUCAGUUACUAACAGGUCAUGCUGAGGACUCUGGAGAGACUGCCGUCGUAAGAUGUGAGGAAGGUGGGGAUGACGUCAAAUCAGCACGGCCCUUACGUCCGGGGCUACACACGUGUUACAAUGGGGGGUACAGAGGGCAGCCAAGCCGUGAGGUGGAGCAAAUCCCUUAAAGCCAUUCUCAGUUCGGAUUGUAGGCUGAAACUCGCCUACAUGAAGCUGGAGUUACUAGUAAUCGCAGAUCAGAAUGCUGCGGUGAAUACGUUCCCGGGUCUUG
Molecule: ribosomal RNA, 1380 nt
Filed under: uncultured bacterium
Lineage: Bacteria
Description: bacterial SSU rRNA
Rfam family: Bacterial small subunit ribosomal RNA
Source: RNAcentral